UACGUAGGGGGCUAGCGUUGUCCGGAUUUAUUGGGCGUAAAGAGCGUGUAGGCGGCCCGGUAAGUCCGCUGUGAAAGUCGGGGGCUCAACCCUCGAAUGCCGGUGGAUACUGUCGGGCUAGAGUACGGAAGAGGCGAGUGGAAUUCCUGGUGUAGCGGUGAAAUGCGCAGAUAUCAGGAGGAACACCAAUGGCGAAGGCAGCUCGCUGGGACGUGACUGACGCUGAGACGCGAAAGCGUGGGGAGCAAACAGG
Molecule: ribosomal RNA, 253 nt
Filed under: uncultured bacterium
Lineage: Bacteria
Description: partial 16S ribosomal RNA
Rfam family: Bacterial small subunit ribosomal RNA
Source: RNAcentral